AUAUCUACCUGGCAGGGGAGAUAGCAUGAUCAUGAAGGUGGUUUUCCCAGGGUGAGGCUCACUCAUUGCACUGCGAGUAUGCUGACCCCUGCGAUUUCCCCAAAUGGGGGAAACUCGACUGCAUAAUUUGUGGUGGUGGGGGACUGCAUGUGUGCUCUCCCUUG
This 164-nucleotide small nuclear RNA is filed under the name Physeter macrocephalus (sperm whale). RNAcentral's name for it is "Physeter catodon (sperm whale) U1 spliceosomal RNA (ENSPCTG00005005932.1)". It matches the Rfam family "U1 spliceosomal RNA". Rfam says of the family: U1 is a small nuclear RNA (snRNA) component of the spliceosome (involved in pre-mRNA splicing). The record is from Rfam by way of RNAcentral. Lineage: Eukaryota; Metazoa; Chordata; Mammalia; Artiodactyla; Physeteridae.